RNAcentral lists this ribosomal RNA (478 nucleotides) under uncultured bacterium. RNAcentral's name for it is "partial 16S ribosomal RNA". It matches the Rfam family "Bacterial small subunit ribosomal RNA", at positions 28 to 523 of the family's 1533-position model. The record is from RNAcentral.
GAUGAACGCUGACAGAAUGCUUAACGCAUGCAAGUCUACUUGAUUCUACUUCGGUAGUUGAUGGUGGCGGACGGGUGAGUAACGCGUAAAGAAUCUGCCCUUUAGUUUGGGAUAACCUUUGGAAACGAAGGCUAAUACCGAAUAUUAUGGAGAUGUCGCAUGACGACUUCAUGAAAGCUAUAUGCGCUAGAGGAGGACUUUGCGUCCCAUUAGUUAGUUGGUGAGGUAAUGGCUCACCAAGACCGCGAUGGGUAGCCGGCCUGGGAGGGUGAUCGGCCACAAGGGAACUGAGACACGGUCCUUACUCCUACGGGAGGCAGCAGUGGGGAAUAUUGGACAAUGGACCACAAGUCUGAUCCAGCAAUUCUGUGUGCACGAUGAAGGUCUUCGGAUUGUAAAGUGCUUUCAGUAGGGAAGAAAAAAAUGACGGUACCUACAGAAGAAGCGACGGCUAAAUAUGUGCCAGCAGCCGCAGUAA